GCACUGCUGACGAGUCCAAAACAGGACGAAACAGAUGUCCAUUGC
This 45-nucleotide non-coding RNA is filed under the name Echinostoma caproni. Lineage: Eukaryota; Metazoa; Platyhelminthes; Trematoda; Plagiorchiida; Echinostomatidae. The record is from RNAcentral.